RNAcentral lists this ribosomal RNA (389 nucleotides) under uncultured bacterium. Its description in RNAcentral is "bacterial SSU rRNA". It matches the Rfam family "Bacterial small subunit ribosomal RNA", at positions 30 to 417 of the family's 1533-position model. The record is from RNAcentral.
AUUGAACGCUGGCGGCAUGCCUUACACAUGCAAGUCGAACGGUAACGGGUCCUUCGGGAUGCCGACGAGUGGCGAACGGGUGAGUAAUAUAUCGGAACGUGCCCAGUAGUGGGGGAUAACUGCUCGAAAGAGCAGCUAAUACCGCAUACGACCUGAGGGGUGAAAGGGGGGGAGUCGCAAGACCUCUCGCUAUUGGAGCGGCCGAUAUCAGAUUAGCUAGUUGGUGGGGUAAAGGCCUACCAAGGCGACGAUCCGUAGCGGGUCUGAGAGGACGACCCGCCACACUGGAACUGAGACACGGUCCAGACUCCUACGGGUGGCAGCAGUAGGGAAUAUUGCACAAUGGGCGAAAGCCUGAUGCAGCAACGCCGCGUGUGCGAUGAAGGCCC